Molecule: non-coding RNA, 120 nt
Filed under: Shewanella hanedai
Lineage: Bacteria; Pseudomonadati; Pseudomonadota; Gammaproteobacteria; Alteromonadales; Shewanellaceae
Source: RNAcentral
AUUCUCUGCGUAGGGUACAGAGGUUAAGAUGUUCUAUCUUUCAGACCUUUUUAAUUCGCUAAUUAUAGUGAAUAGCCAAAUUAUGGCGCCUCAGCAACUUAGUUUGCUGGGGCUUUUUUU